This 571-nucleotide long non-coding RNA is filed under the name Dromaius novaehollandiae (emu). RNAcentral's name for it is "lncRNA (ENSDNVG00000000309.1)". Lineage: Eukaryota; Metazoa; Chordata; Aves; Casuariiformes; Dromaiidae. The record is from RNAcentral.
CCCUAGACAGAGUUGCUGGCAGGCAGCAGCAGCAGCAGCAGUUCGGCCAGCAGUGUCCGUCUGGCAUAGUCACUGAAGUGCUUCCUCAGCCAGGCCAACAGGCCUGUGGUGUGAGUGUAAGCCUCUCCUUGAAAAGCACUGUGAACUCAGCCUCUAAAUCUUCUGAGACUCCAGGAUCUGCCUGAGACGCCUGGGCUGAAGGCACUGUGAAAGGACCAGGGGAUCACCAAACACUUCCUAUUGCCAUGCUGAAGGCCUGGGUUCAAGUCCUGCCUUUCCACUUGGCUACAGCCUUCAGUUCUGGCUACCCAUCAGAAAAAAAAAACCAUGCAAACGUAGAAUGGCCCUGGAAACAGAGUCCUGAGGAAAUGAUGGCACUGAUGCAAUGGCAGGAAUAACGAGGAUUGUUCUGUACAACUGAACACUGCAAACAAAAGGUCCCUGAGAAGUUUUUCAGAAGUCAUCCAAAAUUUAAGAGGCAUUAGAGCUGACACAAACAUCAGGUUUGCGAAGACAGCUGAAAACCCUUUGCACAAAGGUAGGAGUUCAAUGAAGCUCAACAACAGGGCUG